CACGUAGGGGACGAGCGUUGUCCGGAUUCAUUGGGCGUAAAGCGCGCGUAGGCGGCUCGGAAAGUCGGUCGUGAAAUGCCGGGGCUCAACCCCGGGACUGCGUCCGAUACUCCCGAGCUGGAGGCAGGUAGGGGAGAUCGGAAUUCCUGGUGUAGCGGUGAAAUGCGCAGAUAUCAGGAGGAACACCAAUAGCGAAGGCAGCUCGCUGGGACGGUACUGACGCUAAGGCGCGAAAGCGUGGGGAGCGAACAGG
RNAcentral lists this ribosomal RNA (253 nucleotides) under uncultured bacterium. Its description in RNAcentral is "partial 16S ribosomal RNA". It matches the Rfam family "Bacterial small subunit ribosomal RNA", at positions 524 to 776 of the family's 1533-position model. The record is from RNAcentral.